RNAcentral lists this long non-coding RNA (307 nucleotides) under Homo sapiens (human). RNAcentral describes it as "non-protein coding lnc-PTGER3-6:1". The record is from RNAcentral. Lineage: Eukaryota; Metazoa; Chordata; Mammalia; Primates; Hominidae.
UCUCAUAAUUUUGUGAAUCCUAAAAGGUAUUCUUUCUUACUUUGUUCUCAGCUUCCUUUCAUCUGAGAAAGUUCUUAAAUACCUAGUAUCCAAGAAUCUUAUCUACCCUUCUCAACUCCUAGAUGAAGGGGGGAUCUUAAAAGUUUCUUCCUCACCAUUCCUUGAAGGGGGUUCUAUAGACAUAUGGAGUUACCCUGGCUGGAUGAAGCCACCCUGCAAUUAACCUCAGUGUUCAUGUAAUAGAUAUGAGUUUGUCACUUAAUUUCAACAGCAAACAACCUCGUAAAAGUCAACACAGAAGGGAAAA